GCCACGUGGCUUCCUUUUAGACAACCUGGAAGUAUUUGAAGGUCAGCAAAUACAAGCACUUGAUUCAGAAACGGAUAAAGUAAAUAGUAGGCUGGUGUUCUUUGGGAGCAGUUAAUGGUGCCAAAUGGAGAGAGAAAAAAACCCGACUUUGCUUUAUGCUCCAUUUUAAUCAGGUUCCUAUUCCUCCGAUCCUGCGCUAAAUUUUCCUUACUGAGUUUUGGGUUUUAUUUGAGUUGUGCUCAAGGCAUAAGGAAUCUAAACUAGUCAGUGGUGUGAGAAUUUAAUGAACGAGGAGCCAAGGUUGCGCGUCCAACCGUGGUUUCCAGUCUUGGCUGCGCAUGGAAUCAGCUGGGGAGCUCUCAAAACACCCCCUCACCACCACAGCCAAGGUGAGACCCAUCACUGCAGGGUUUAUUUUCCUUACUCCCACCUUACGUUUCUAUUUCUUGGAUUUUCUGUUGUUUAUAAAGAAUCUGUUUGGGAAAAGCUUAGUAUCCAGUUACAGCUUGAGGCCCUGGCUCAGGAGGAGGUGAAAGGCCUCAGAGUGUUUUCUAGAAAAUGUUUCAGGGAAUAAAGAAGCCCCACACCUAGAAAACCAGUUCUCUCAGCCUCGUGUGGCAUCACCGGGGGCCAAUAAAAACUUCCAUUUGAGUUUACUGGUUAGUGUCUAAAUUGAUUAAACCUAGAAAUGGCUGGACAAACCCUGUACGGUUAGGUCCCCAAACAACUGCUCUUUUUAUAAGAACACGCCCAUUCUGAAGUCGCACUUGAUCCGGCCUUUGGUCAGCUCUCUUAGUUUCAACACAUUUGUUCCGGGGAUGUUGUAGUAUUGGGAGGAGGAAGAUUUGAGUCCACAGGCAGGUGAGAAGGAAGGUCUCAGAGUAAACAAUGAGGAUUCCACACCCUUAACGCCUGGUGAAGCUAAAAACAAAGCUUUGGGCAGACUGUUGCUGCCCCCUACCGGCAGUGAUUGGUGUUGACUCGUGAGAAAGAGUCGCGAGCCCCCUGGUGGUGGCCAAUCCCAGCUGGACCCUCCUCAUGCUGUUGCUCCAUGCUCCAGCAGCAAUGCUGUAGGCCUGAAGGACUUUCCCCUUCAGUAUAUCAGAUGGGGUAACGAGAAGAGGGAGAUGCACUCAUCUAGCAGUUUACAUCAUCUCUGGACCAUGUUCAUGUGACUCUUAAAUGAGCCUGCCUUUUGUAAUGUUUCAUAUUCUGUGACCAGAAAAUUUUGAUCAUGUGUUCAGAUAAUCAAACUUAAAACUUCCGGCCACUGAAGGCUGGGAAGGCGUGCAAAGCCGUCCUGAGGACUUGGAGGAGCAGGAAGACCAGAAGAACCCAACCUGUGGCUGCUUAAGGGUCAUCCAACAGGUGUUUGCCCAAACUACAGCCCCUCAACAUUGCUCAAGCAGACAUCAUUAGAAACGCGUUUAUUUGGUUUCAAGAUACUGCCACGAGUAAACGAACCAUGGAAAUCUCUGGAAAGGUUAAUGUGUGCAUCCUUUAUAUAAUAAGCAUAUUUAUCAGCUCACUUACCAGAAUUUUAUUGCAUAUUUAUUAAACAACUGCUAACUAAGACGCACUGAGCUGAGCGCUCCGAGGGAUACAGAUCUGAGUCAAUUGUAGUCCCUGCCUUCAAGGAAUUUACCAUCGUGUUGGAGAGGAGAUGAAGUUACUAACUGUGACCAAGACAGAACAAAGAAGUGCCACGAUAUGGGAGCAAAGUGCUGUCAAGUCUGGAGGCUUCUCCGCUCCUGCCAGCAUGUAACACUCUCUUCCCUGUCAUUACUCAGUGGAUUCAUCACAUCAAGCUGAGUAAAGCUUAUCUCGGUGAUUGUCAACCAGUGCCUCCCCGUGGGGUUUCUCACUCAUCCUUCCAUGGAUGACCAUCAGUCAAGAACACUGUAUGAAAUUUUGCAUUGUGUAGUUUGGAUUAUAAAAGCGCUAUAUAUGCUAAAUAUGCUUUCCUAAUCCUCUCUCCUCCCUCCCAACAGCCCCCACACUGCCAGGAGGGUUAGGGACUUUUACAUCGCACCACGCUUAGAGCAUGUUUUGAUUGGUGGGCCAAAUCC
This 2069-nucleotide long non-coding RNA is filed under the name Equus asinus (donkey). Its description in RNAcentral is "lncRNA (ENSEASG00005033917.1)". Lineage: Eukaryota; Metazoa; Chordata; Mammalia; Perissodactyla; Equidae. The record is from RNAcentral.